RNAcentral lists this transfer RNA (74 nucleotides) under Callopanchax monroviae. RNAcentral describes it as "tRNA-Leu". It matches the Rfam family "tRNA". Rfam says of the family: Transfer RNA (tRNA) molecules are approximately 80 nucleotides in length. Their secondary structure includes four short double-helical elements and three loops (D, anti-codon, and T loops). Lineage: Eukaryota; Metazoa; Chordata; Actinopteri; Cyprinodontiformes; Nothobranchiidae. The record is from RNAcentral.
GUUAGUAUGGCAGAAGCAGGUAAAUGCAAAAGGUCUAAGCCCUUUAAAUAGAGGUUCAAAUCCUCUUACUAACU